RNAcentral lists this ribosomal RNA (733 nucleotides) under Staphylococcus aureus. Its description in RNAcentral is "partial 23S ribosomal RNA". It matches the Rfam family "Bacterial large subunit ribosomal RNA", at positions 513 to 1253 of the family's 2925-position model. The record is from RNAcentral. Lineage: Bacteria; Bacillati; Bacillota; Bacilli; Caryophanales; Staphylococcaceae.
GGUGAAAAGCACCCCGGAAGGGGAGUGAAAUAGAACCUGAAACCGUGUGCUUACAAGUAGUCAGAGCCCGUUAAUGGGUGAUGGCGUGCCUUUUGUAGAAUGAACCGGCGAGUUACGAUUUGAUGCAAGGUUAAGCAGUAAAUGUGGAGCCGUAGCGAAAGCGAGUCUGAAUAGGGCGUUUAGUAUUUGGUCGUAGACCCGAAACCAGGUGAUCUACCCUUGGUCAGGUUGAAGUUCAGGUAACACUGAAUGGAGGACCGAACCGACUUACGUUGAAAAGUGAGCGGAUGAACUGAGGGUAGCGGAGAAAUUCCAAUCGAACCUGGAGAUAGCUGGUUCUCUCCGAAAUAGCUUUAGGGCUAGCCUCAAGUGAUGAUUAUUGGAGGUAGAGCACUGUUUGGACGAGGGGCCCCUCUCGGGUUACCGAAUUCAGACAAACUCCGAAUGCCAAUUAAUUUAACUUGGGAGUCAGAACAUGGGUGAUAAGGUCCGUGUUCGAAAGGGAAACAGCCCAGACCACCAGCUAAGGUCCCAAAAUAUAUGUUAAGUGGAAAAGGAUGUGGCGUUGCCCAGACAACUAGGAUGUUGGCUUAGAAGCAGCCAUCAUUUAAAGAGUGCGUAAUAGCUCACUAGUCGAGUGACACUGCGCCGAAAAUGUACCGGGGCUAAACAUAUUACCGAAGCUGUGGAUUGUCCUUUGGACAAUGGUAGGAGAGCGUUCUAAGGGCGUUGA